Molecule: long non-coding RNA, 1901 nt
Organism: Sciurus carolinensis (gray squirrel)
Lineage: Eukaryota; Metazoa; Chordata; Mammalia; Rodentia; Sciuridae
Exons: 2
Source: RefSeq, a predicted model, not a curated record
UAUUUAUAUGCAGUGCUGAGAAUCAAACCCAUGCCUCACACAUGCGAGGCAAGUGCUCUACCCCUGAGCCACCACCCAGCUCCUAAGUUUACAUUCUUUAUAGACAUGUGUGAAAUCCCUUCGCUAUCAGAGUCUGGUGAACUGUGCACACUCACUAGUGAUGGUAGGGUAGUUGGUCCAGUCUUUGUGAGAAGGUUUUCACGAAGUUUGGAUAGUGUCAGUUCUGGUGAUGUUUAAAGGAUGACUCGAAGUGCAGAGUAAGGCUUCUGCACAAGCGUGUUUUCUGUAGCAUUCAGGAUGAAACUAGAGACAAAUUUAAGUGUGAACAAUAGGAUAAUUAUUGAACUAUGGUUUAAUUGGCUCCUUUUGGGACACUGUGCCGUCAUCAGAUUAUUGCAAAGAAUUUAUAAUAACAGAAAAAUACAUGUUACCUAUAUAAAAACAAAGGAUUGAACAGCGGUGCACCAAAGUGACACUUGUGGUCAGUGCUGUUGAGGUUCAGCCCCUAGUGGUCACCACGUGGCCCCAGCCUUUCAGGAGGCUGAGCUGAAAAGAAGCCAUCCCUUCUUCACGUCCCAGCCCAGGUGGUGCAGAGGUGGGAGGCUGGCCCUCCACACAACCCCACACGACCCCUCCAAAGGCCGCCAUUUGCGCCCAGCCAGCAGAACACGGAAAGAGAGCAUGGAAGAUUCUGGGGCUGGAGCGGGAGGUGUUUAAAGUUUUAUAAGAUGCAGUUGCAGAUUUCAGUCUCUGGUAACGGAGGAGCCCUUCUGUUGGACGAACUCUUCCCACCGAUGACUGCUCUAGACAAAGUCAGAGUAACAGCUACUGGAGAUCAUUUGACAGACCAGACCCAGGGUACCUGGAGAGCGUGCGAUGCAUGCAUGCAUGGGCCCAUUUGCAGGGAGAUAAACCCAGACAUAAAACCCGCUUUCACUGGUUGGAGGAGAGAUCGGAAGCGGCACAGCGGCUGGAGAGCAGAGGAGGAAUUCCUGAAGAAGGACACUAGGCUGGUGCUAGCCGUCCCCACAACUCACUGUUGAAACCCUCUCCUGGCGAUGGCAUUGGGAUGCAGGGCCUGUGAACGGUGCCCAGGAGUUGAGGCCGGGACCCUCAAAAGAUGCUCCUAAACUCCCUGUUUCUUCUGCCACGAGGACACGUGGAGAAAACAGGCCUGAGCCAGACGCCGAAUCUGCCGGCACAUUGACCUCAAACUUCCUGGCCUCCAGAACUGUGAGAAAGGUGUGUCUGCUGUUGAAGACGCCCAGCCCCGCCGCCAGGCUGUGCUAGUUUUUUAGAGCCGUCCACACUGGACUAACCCUGAGCCAAAGAGACUCAGGGUAUAAGCACCAGACUGCGUAUAGAAUCCGCCAAGUCCCUGCUCUCCCUCAGCUGUACGUGUGGGGAAGGCUGCAUCCACCUCAGGCUGACAGGUGGAACCAGGAGUUCUGUUCACACAUUUGGUUCAGGAAACCAAAUUGGACCUUGAUCCAACCAAGCAAAUUGCCUACUUAACAAGAAUGUGGGGAAGACACCAGAGAAAAUGGCAGAAUAAAGAAAGAGCUGAAAGUUUGCCCCUUCGUUUAAACAAAACAAAAAAAGCUUAGCAAGACCCUGUCUCAAAAUUUAAUAAAAAUAAGGACUGGUAGCCGCGUAAGGUGGUGCACGCCUGUAAUCCCAGCAGCUCUGAAGGCCAAGUCAGGAGGAUUGUGAGUUCAGAGCCAGCCUUGACAACUUGGUGAGGCCCUGGCUCUAAAUAUAUUUUUUAAAAGGCCGGGGAUGUGGGUCGGUGUUAAGGGCCCUUGAGUUUAGUCAUCCCCAGGGCCAAAAAAAAAAAGGAAAACUUUCAAAAUCAACUUCUUAAAAACUAGAAAUUAACCAAUCUAAUAGCAAUCCAAAGA